GCUGAAUAUGUUGAUUCAGAAGAUGAGAUUGUCAGGUGUUUGCUCUGAGAGAUGCGGGUGAUAUGGCGGAGAAUGCAACAGCUUAUGUGAGCUUGGAACCUUGCAAUCAUUUCGGGAGGACCCCACCUUGUACCGAAGCUCUAGUUAAAGCCAAAGUGAAAAAGGUUGUUGUUGGGAUGGUGGAUCCAAAUCCCAUUGUGGCCUCCAAAGGGGUGGAUAGAUUGAGAAGUGCGGGAAUAGAAGUUGUUGUUGGUGUAGAGGAAGAUUUGUGCAAGAGACUCAAUGAGGCCUAUAUUCAUCGCAUGUUGACUGGAAGGCCUUUCCUCACUUUGAGGUAAUUCAUUUCUUCCUCUAUCCGUCGAUACUCCGGCUCGCGUAACAUUUGGGUAUAUGGCUGUUCUCUGACCAAUCACAUACUCAUAGAACAUAAAAUUAUACAAAGUGUAGGACAUCAUAUAUGUAUCUUAAUUGGUAGGCUAUUCUAUCUUGCUUAGAAGUCUUGAAUUUAAAUAUUUAUAGUUGUGUUUCAUAGGUAAAAUUUUGUCGCCAAUAAAUCUUAUUCUAGUAUAGUUUAGAUAAAUUAAUAACAAAAGUGAUGAGAUUAAUAAAUACAAAUAGGGUAGUUAAACAAUAAUGAUAUGUUUAAAUUGAAUUGUAGGGUAUAAAGUGUUCUAUUUUGUAAAUAAAAAUAUUAUAGUUAAGCAAUAAUGAUAUUUGUAAAUUAAGGGUAAAAGAUAAGUUUUACAAAUAUGAAUAACAUAAUUUUCUCAAUAACAAAUAAAUAUUCAAUAUUUUGAAAAUUCAACUCAUCUCAAUGCUAAGUUAAGUUGACAUAAUCUGACUUCUUAUAAUGAUCCAACUCAAUUUAAUCAUAAUUGGUAAUGAGACAAUCCAAGUGAGUCAAAUUGGCUUACCUUGAGAGCUCCUACAACAUAUGAGAUUGAUAUACUCAAUAUAAAUGUUAAUAAUAUUAAUCACUAAACCACGAUUUCGUCCAAAUACUAUAUAUUAAUCAUUAUCUUGAAGAGUUUUAUAAUGAAUUACCAUCACCAGCAUUAAUCUCAAGAUUAUAUUUCUGAGAAUAUCGAUAAUAGAUGUUUGCUUACGAUUCUACACCUUGUAACAAUGGAAUGAUAAUAAUUCACAUCAAAUUAAAACCUUCACCAAAUAGGCUUGCAUUGAAUGGGACUGGAGACUAUUCCAAUUUGUAACAAAUAUAGCUUAAUAUGCAGGAACUUCUAAACAAAAGGUCUGGGUGGUGUAGUCGGUUAUCACGCUAGUCUCACACACUAGAGGUCCCCGGUUCGAACCCGGGCUCAGACAAUUUCAAGCGUUUUGUCACAUUGCUGUUCAUCAUACUUCACUGGAUGUUAUUUUUUUUGUUUUUCCCUAUAAUCCUAAAUUUUCUACUUUGUUCUGUUCCCUUCUUCUAACAACACCAUGAAAGCACAACCCUUUUCACUUUCACUCCCAUGUUACAGCUUUCUUCCUCUGCCCAGAUUCUCAUCCUAUGCCACUCCUCCAAAUUUUGCAUCUUUUCCACCAAUCCAUGACCCCUCCAAGAAUUUAACUUAUGGGUUUUACAAAUCACUCAUUUGGGUGCAUAGAACAACUGGGUGGAAGAAUAGUUGUGGUGGUGGCUCUUUAAUUGUUAAGUGUGGUUCCCAUGAAGAAAAUGAUGAUGGGUUUUACAUUAGAAGGUGUGUGGAAGUUGCAAGAAAGGGUAUUGGGAAUACUAGCCCAAAUCCAAUGGUGGGGUGUGUUAUUGUAAAGGAUGGGAAAAUUGUUGGUGAAGGAUUCCACCCUAAAGCUGGUCAACCACAUGCUGAGGUACCUUCUCUAUUUUUACCCUUCUCUAUAUAUCUUUAUAUCAUUUUAUGAUGAUGUAAAAAUCUGAGAUUUGUAUGCAAUUUUGCAUAUUUAUAUACUGUGUUCAUUUGUUGGCUUCCCUAAAGAUUUCAUUUUUCAUUGCAUUUGUGCUUCAUACAUCACAGGACAGAGCAGGCUGUACUACAUGACUAAUAUGAGAAUAUAUUUAGGGAACACAUUUGUUGUUCCAAAAGUGUGGUGCAACUUCCUGUGAUUGGUUUUGAAAAUAUAUAUAUAUAAGUUAAACGUGUAACAAUUAAUUACUUUUCUGACUAAUUAUAGGAAGGGAAACAUGGAAUACUACAUUUUUGGGGGAAUGAAGAUGUGCUCCCAUUAAUGUAGUGGUAACACAGAUGCACAAAUCUUAAACUAGAAAAGAUGAAUAAUGUUUUAGAAGUAUGAUAUGAGUAUAAAAAAGGGUGGCCUUAUGCACAAAGCUCCCACUUAGUGGGUUCUGGAUGGAUAGAUGUACGCAAUCUUACCCCUCAAGCGGAAAAAAUGUUUUUAAGAAUUGAACUCUUGACCUCGUUGUCACUAUUUCAAUAUGAGUAAAUAAACAUAAUAAAAUGCGAACAUGUAUGCAAUUAUUCUUUUAGAUAAGAUGUAAAUGUUUCAUUACCUCAACUUGAACCAAUACAAGAAUCAGGGAUAUUGAAACAUAAUCAACAGUUCACUUCAAAACAUAAAACCUGUCUAACUAAUCUAUCAACUUUAACUAUAUCAGACUAUACAAAUGCAUUUCUUGAUAUAAACCUGAAUCUGAAAUGAAUUCAAUUUUGUUUAAUGGAAACUUUGCUUGCAAUGUUCUGGUUCUGAAUUCUCCAUUUUAAGCCUGUUUGAAUUUGUGGAACUAUUGUAUUUAUAGAUUUGGAUUUGUUCUUAUAGAUCCAGUUGUUCCUUUCAAGUCCAAAUAGAGUAAAUAGUGGCUGCAACUGAUGCAUAAAAUAUAAGCCUCUUGAAUUUGCUGUUCUUCUAAAUGUGCAAUAUGAAUCUGCUUCCAGAAGUUGAAGUGUUGUGAAUUUUUUUAUCUGCAACCAACUCUUGUCUUAGCUAAUAAAGCAAGUGGUUUCUUGUCUACUCGGUCUUAUACUCUUAUGUAAUUAUUGUGAUAUUUCAAACAAUGACAGUAUAAAAUUCACAAAAUACAGCAAGUAGUGUCCAAAAGUGACUGAUAUGGAUAUGUGUCCGACGCAAACAUAACAACUAUUUUGAAGUGUACAUGCUUCAUAGCAUCUAUGAGGAGCUUAAUUUGAAUUCAAAUAAUGGUUUUUGUGAGAAAUUGAAGAAACUGGUUGAGGGCUGGAGAAGAUGUUUUGAUUGUAAAUCGUGACUUUCUUAGAGUUUAGGUAGGGAAUAUUGUGUUUGUUGCUGAAUAUGUUGAUUCAGAAGAUGAGAUUGUCAGGUGUUUGCUCUGAGAGAUGCGGGUGAUAUGGCGGAGAAUGCAACAGCUUAUGUGAGCUUGGAACCUUGCAAUCAUUUCGGGAGGACCCCACCUUGUACCGAAGCUCUAGUUAAAGCCAAAGUGAAAAAGGUUGUUGUUGGGAUGGUGGAUCCAAAUCCCAUUGUGG
Molecule: long non-coding RNA, 3437 nt
Filed under: Lupinus angustifolius (narrow-leaved blue lupine)
Lineage: Eukaryota; Viridiplantae; Streptophyta; Magnoliopsida; Fabales; Fabaceae
Description: long non-coding RNA (LANG_LNC001560)
Rfam family: tRNA (bases 1250-1323)
Source: RNAcentral